RNAcentral lists this ribosomal RNA (440 nucleotides) under uncultured bacterium. RNAcentral describes it as "partial 16S ribosomal RNA". It matches the Rfam family "Bacterial small subunit ribosomal RNA", at positions 338 to 795 of the family's 1533-position model. The record is from RNAcentral.
CCUACGGGUGGCUGCAGUGGGGAAUAUUGCACAAUGGGGGAAACCCUGAUGCAGCGACGCCGCGUGAGCGAUGAAGUAUUUCGGUAUGUAAAGCUCUAUCAGCAGGGAAGAAAAUGACGGUACCUGACUAAGAAGCCCCGGCUAACUACGUGCCAGAAGCCGCGGUAAUACGUAGGGGGCAAGCGUUAUCCGGAUUUACUGGGGGUAAAGGGAUCGUAGGCGGUCCUGCAAGUCAGAGGUGAAAGCCCGGGGCUAAACCCCGGGACUGCAUUUGACACUGGUAGGCUAGAGUGUCGGAGAGGCAGGCGGAAUGCGUAGUGUAGCGGUGAAAUGCGUAGAUAUUAGGAGGAACACCAGUGGCGAAGGCGGCCUGCUGGACGAUGACUGACGUUGAGGCUCGAAAGCGUGGGGAGCAAACAGGAUUAGAUACCCUGGUAGUC